RNAcentral lists this unclassified non-coding RNA (345 nucleotides) under soil metagenome. Its description in RNAcentral is "partial contains 5.8S ribosomal RNA, internal transcribed spacer 2, and large subunit ribosomal RNA". The stretch from base 1 to 119 matches the Rfam family "5.8S ribosomal RNA", at positions 35 to 154 of the family's 154-position model. The record is from RNAcentral.
GAUGAAGAACGUAGCGAAAUGCGAUACGUAAUGUGAAUUGCAAAUUCAGUGAAUCAUCGAGUCUUUGAACGCACAUUGCGCCCCCUGGUAUUCCGGGGGGCAUGCCUGUCCGAGCGUCAUUGCUGCCCUCAAGCACGGCUUGUGUGUUGGGCCCCGUCCUCCGAUCCCGGGGGACGGGCCCGAAAGGCAGCGGCGGCACCGCGUCCGGUCCUCGAGCGUAUGGGGCUUUGUCACCCGCUCUGUAGGCCCGGCCGGCGCUUGCCGAUCAACCCAAAUUUUUAUCCAGGUUGACCUCGGAUCAGGUAGGGAUACCCGCUGAACUUAAGCAUAUCAACAAGCGGAGGA